UACAGAGGUCCCAAGCGUUGUUCGGAUUCACUGGGCGUAAAGGGUGCGUAGGUGGUCGGGUAAGUCUGAUGUGAAAGCUCGGAGCUUAACUCCGAAAUGGCAUUGGAUACUAUCCGGCUAGAGGAUCGGAGGGGGGACUGGAAUUCUCGGUGUAGCAGUGAAAUGCGUAGAUAUCAGGAGGAACAUCGAUGGCGAAGGCAGCCCCCUGGGCCUGUACUGACGCUCAUGCACGAAAGCGUGGGGAGCAAACAGG
RNAcentral lists this ribosomal RNA (253 nucleotides) under uncultured prokaryote. Its description in RNAcentral is "partial 16S ribosomal RNA". It matches the Rfam family "Bacterial small subunit ribosomal RNA", at positions 524 to 776 of the family's 1533-position model. The record is from RNAcentral.